CCUACGGGAGGCAGCAGUGAGGAAUAUUGGUCAAUGGGCGCGAGCCUGAACCAGCCAAGUAGCGUGAAGGAUGACUGCCCUACGGGUUGUAACCUUCUUUUAUAAAGGAAUAAAGUGCGGCACGUGUGCCUUUUUGUAUGGACUUUAUGAAUAAGGAUGGGCUAACUCCGUGCCAGCAGCCGGGGUAAUAAGGAGGAUCCGAAGGUUAUACGGAUUUAUUGGGUUUAAAGGGAGCGUAGAUGGGUUUUUAAGUCAGUUGUGAAAGUUUGCGGCGCAACCGUAAAAUUGCAAUUGAUACUGGCAGUCUUGAGUACAGUGGAGGUAGGCGGAAUUCGUGGUGUAGCGGUGAAAUGCUUAGAUAUCACGAAGAACUCCGAUUGCGAAGGCAGCUUACUAAACUGCCACUGACAUUGAUGCUCGAAAGUGUGGGUAUCAAACAGGAUUAGAUACCCUUGUAGUC
Molecule: ribosomal RNA, 460 nt
Filed under: uncultured bacterium
Lineage: Bacteria
Description: partial 16S ribosomal RNA
Rfam family: Bacterial small subunit ribosomal RNA
Source: RNAcentral